RNAcentral lists this transfer RNA (72 nucleotides) under Camelus bactrianus (Bactrian camel). It matches the Rfam family "tRNA". Rfam says of the family: Transfer RNA (tRNA) molecules are approximately 80 nucleotides in length. Lineage: Eukaryota; Metazoa; Chordata; Mammalia; Artiodactyla; Camelidae. RNAcentral also lists the same sequence under 2 other names. The record is from Rfam by way of RNAcentral.
GAGAGUAUAGCUCAAGUGGCAGAGCAGGUGCUUAGCACGCACGAGGUCCUGGGUUCAAUCCCCAGUAUCUCC